RNAcentral lists this ribosomal RNA (254 nucleotides) under uncultured bacterium. RNAcentral's name for it is "partial 16S ribosomal RNA". It matches the Rfam family "Bacterial small subunit ribosomal RNA", at positions 524 to 776 of the family's 1533-position model. The record is from RNAcentral.
UACGUAGGGGGCAAGCGUUGUCCGGAAUUAUUGGGCGUAAAGAGCUCGUAGGCGGUGUGUCGCGUCGGCCGUGAAAACCUGUGGCUUAACCAUGGGCUUGCGGUCGAUACGGGCAUCACUGGAGUUCGGCAGGGGAGACUGGAAUUCCUGGUGUAGCGGUGAAAUGCGCAGAUAUCAGGAGGAACACCGGUGGCGAAGGCGGGUCUCUGGGCCGAUACUGACGCUGAGGAGCGAAAGCGUGGGGAGCGAACAGG